GGAUGAACGCUAGCGGGAGGCUUAACACAUGCAAGUCGAGGGGCAGCAUAGGGUAGCAAUACUCUGAUGGCGACCGGCAAACGGGUGAGUAACGCGUAUGCAACCUACCCUGUACAGGGGGAUAACCCGGAGAAAUUCGGACUAAUAUCCCGUAAUAAUAUCCGGAGGCAUCUUUGGAUAUUUAAAGUUCCGACGGUACGGGAUGGGCAUGCGUAACAUUAGCUGGUUGGUAAGGUAACGGCUUACCAAGGCUAUGAUGUUUAGGGGUCCUGAGAGGGUGGUCCCCCACACUGGUACUGAGACACGGACCAGACUCCUACGGGAGGCAGCAGUGAGGAAUAUUGGUCAAUGGGCGCAAGCCUGAACCAGCCAUCCCGCGUGCAGGAAGACGGCCCUAUGGGUUGUAAACUGCUUUUCCAGGGAGAGAAACUUACGCACGUGUUGCGUGACUGACGGUACCCUGGGAAUAAGCAUCGGCUAACUCCGUGCCAGCAGCCGCGGUAAUACGGAGGAUGCAAGCGUUAUCCGGAUUCAUUGGGUUUAAAGGGUGCGUAGGCGGGCUAUUAAGUCAGUGGUGAAAUCCUGCAGCUUAACUGCAGAACUGCCGUUGAUACUGAUAGUCUUGAGUUUGGUUAAGGUAGGCGGAAUGUGUAAUGUAGCGGUGAAAUGCUUAGAUAUUACACAGAACACCAAUUGCGUAGGCAGCUUACUGAGCCGACACUGACGCUGAGGCACGAAAGCGUGGGGAUCAAACAGGAUUAGAUACCCUGGUAGUCCACGCCGUAAACGAUGAUUACUCGCUGUUGGCGAUACACUGUCAGCGGCUAAGCAAAAGCAAUAAGUAAUCCACCUGGGGAGUACGGCCGCAAGGUUGAAACUCAAAGGAAUUGACGGGGGCCCGCACAAGCGGAGGAACAUGUGGUUUAAUUCGAUGAUACGCGAGGAACCUUACCCGGGCUUGAAAUGCAGACGACCGACAGGGAAACUUGUCUUCCAGCAAUGGUGUCUGUGUAGGUGCUGCAUGGUUGUCGUCAGCUCGUGCCGUGAGGUGUCGGCUUAAGUGCCAUAACGAGCGCAACCCUUGCCAUUAGUUGCUAACAGGUUAAGCUGAGAACUCUAAUGGGACUGCCAUCGUAAGAUGCGAGGAAGGUGGGGAUGACGUCAAAUCAGCACGGCCCUUACGUCCGGGGCGACACACGUGUUACAAUGGGUGGUACAGAGGGUUGCUACCUGGUGACAGGAUGCUAAUCUCUUAAAUCCACUCUCAGUUCGGAUCGAAGUCUGCAACUCGACUUCGUGAAGCUGGAUUCGCUAGUAAUCGCGCAUCAGCCAUGGCGCGGUGAAUACGUUCCCGGGCCU
Molecule: ribosomal RNA, 1359 nt
Filed under: uncultured bacterium
Lineage: Bacteria
Description: bacterial SSU rRNA
Rfam family: Bacterial small subunit ribosomal RNA
Source: RNAcentral